Molecule: transfer RNA, 66 nt
Filed under: Dinocras cephalotes
Lineage: Eukaryota; Metazoa; Arthropoda; Insecta; Plecoptera; Perlidae
Description: tRNA-Glu
Source: RNAcentral
AUUUAUAUAGUUUAAAAAAAACCUUACAUUUUCACUGUAAAAAUAAAGAAUUUUCUUUUAUAAUUA